UACACACUGCUGUCCAACAACACCACCGCUCCCCCCUUAUCAGCUUCCUUGAUAAUUAAAUCAUGUGCAACCAUGAAAGCCCUGAGUGCAUCAUAUUCCUCCUUGGUCAUGUUAUUUUUUGUAUUUUUGUAUUUAAUUUAUACAGAAUUUUU
Bufo bufo (common toad) is the source of this 152-nucleotide long non-coding RNA. RefSeq lists it as uncharacterized. Lineage: Eukaryota; Metazoa; Chordata; Amphibia; Anura; Bufonidae. The transcript has 3 exons. The record is from RefSeq and is a predicted model, not a curated record.